UACGUAGGUGGCAAGCGUUAUCCGGAUUUAUUGGGCGUAAAGGGAACGCAGGCGGUCUUUUAAGUCUGAUGUGAAAGCCUUCGGCUUAACCGGAGUAGUGCAUUGGAAACUGGGAGACUUGAGUGCAGAAGAGGAGAGUGGAACUCCAUGUGUAGCGGUGAAAUGCGUAGAUAUAUGGAAGAACACCAGUGGCGAAAGCGGCUCUCUGGUCAGUAACUGACGCUGAGGUUCGAAAGCGUGGGUAGCAAACAGG
This 253-nucleotide ribosomal RNA is filed under the name uncultured bacterium. Its description in RNAcentral is "partial 16S ribosomal RNA". It matches the Rfam family "Bacterial small subunit ribosomal RNA", at positions 524 to 776 of the family's 1533-position model. The record is from RNAcentral.